Schistocerca gregaria is the source of this 1216-nucleotide long non-coding RNA. RefSeq lists it as uncharacterized. The transcript is spliced from 3 exons. The record is from RefSeq and is a predicted model, not a curated record. NCBI's taxonomy places the organism in Eukaryota, Metazoa, Arthropoda, Insecta, Orthoptera, Acrididae.
UGCAUUUUGUGUUCAUUUUAUUUACGUAAUUUGAGUUUUCAUAACAUCACCACGUCUCCAGCAGUCUGUCUCGGCAAUCAGGACCUUCCAAAGACAUCCCCGUUCCACACAUUAAACCACAGCCAGCCAAAAGGGCUCAGGAUCAGUUCCAGAUUCCAGAUGCAGAUUGAGUCCAGCCCCAGCAAUGUGUCGAGUUGGCAGCCGGUGCGGGAAGCAGAGCAGCGCCAGCGUAGACAGUGCCACAACCUGGUGCUGUCGCUCUGUGGUGCUGAGUUGGCCAUGGAGAAGUGGCUGAGGAGAAGUGCCUGGUCAACCACAGUCUGCUCCUUUACGACCUAUAUAAUUUAUAGACUUUUGCAUUUUUUCGUGUCUUCAUCUUCUGGCCCGGACUUUCAUGUGUCGCCGACAGCUGGCAGCGUCGCCCCUCAAGUGCAUCCCCACUUAUAAUUUCAGGUUAUUUUCCUCAGUUUAUUGUUUUUCUCUGGGCUGGAUGCAUCGACUUCGGCUUGACCAAUGAGGUAAUCAAAAUUCAUCAGUAUUCAACUCGAGAACAAUGGAAGAUUUGUAACUGGGUGGAAAUGACUGUGACUGACUGACUGGCUUCUCUGUUGGGGACCGUGCAUUCCGCUCUUUCAGUGAUGCCAAGUCUGGUGCUUUCUGUACUCAUCUAGUCUUCAUGAGGCAGUGUAGUUCUGUGCAAUGAAUGAAGACUGUGUAAUAGUGACCCCGACAUCGUGCAACUGGGAACAAAAGAUAAGCAGCACAUAACUGGUAACACUGGAAAAUAAACAGAGUUUCUUGCAAUGUUCUUGUGAUGAAAUCAUUAUAGAAUUAUUUCUCUAAUCAUUAGAUUUUUCAUGCAUAAGUUAAAUGAAAAAGUGAUGUUAAAUAUUCAGUGGGUGCCAAUAACGAACUAUAGCUCCAAUUCCUUUGGAGGCCAAAAAGGAAUGUGAAGAUUCUAUUUAAAAAAUAUUUCUCAUCUGUAAUUUGUCAACAGGCAGUAUUUUUAAGAAAAAGCUAUUUUGUAUUUUUAGGCAGAGUCUGCCUUCACGUAUGAAUGCGGACUUGACUUGAUAACACAUUAGCUGUUAGCAAUGUUACAAAAAAGUUUAAAGACGAAGCACUAUGUAUCCCAAAACCUAUAAAACAUAUGAGCAAUAAGGUUACAUUGUAUGUUGUGACUGAAAUAUUUACCAUAUUUAAUUCUGAGAAGAGG